GCUCCAGUGGUGCAAUUGGUUAGUGCAUGGUACUUAUACAACAGUACAAGAUGGAGCUGUGCUGAGGUUGUGAGUUUGAGCCUCACCUAGAGCA
Non-coding RNA from Megalops atlanticus (tarpon), 94 nucleotides. Lineage: Eukaryota; Metazoa; Chordata; Actinopteri; Elopiformes; Megalopidae. The record is from the annotation of a GenBank genome assembly.